RNAcentral lists this ribosomal RNA (605 nucleotides) under Hansenula anomala. Its description in RNAcentral is "Wickerhamomyces anomalus partial large subunit ribosomal RNA". It matches the Rfam family "Eukaryotic large subunit ribosomal RNA", at positions 48 to 664 of the family's 3401-position model. Lineage: Eukaryota; Fungi; Ascomycota; Saccharomycetes; Phaffomycetales; Wickerhamomycetaceae. The record is from RNAcentral.
AAUAGGAGGAAAAGAAACCAACAGGGAUUGCCUCAGUAACGGCGAGUGAAGCGGCAAAAGCUCAAAUUUGAAAUCUAGCACCUUCGGUGUUUGAGUUGUAAUUUGAAGAUGGUAACCUUGGGUUUGGCUCUUGUCUAUGUUCCUUGGAACAGGACGUCAUAGAGGGUGAGAAUCCCGUCUGAUGAGAUGCCCAUUCCUAUGUAAGGUGCUAUCGAAGAGUCGAGUUGUUUGGGAAUGCAGCUCUAAGUGGGUGGUAAAUUCCAUCUAAAGCUAAAUAUUGGCGAGAGACCGAUAGCGAACAAGUACAGUGAUGGAAAGAUGAAAAGAACUUUGAAAAGAGAGUGAAAAAGUACGUGAAAUUGUUGAAAGGGAAGGGCAUUAGAUCAGACUUGGUGUUUUACGAUUAUCUUCUCUUCUUGAGUUGUGCACUCGUAUUUCACUGGGCCAGCAUCGAUUCGGAUGGCAAGAUAAUGGCAGUUGAAUGUGGCUUCACUUCGGUGGAGUGUUAUAGCUUCUGCUGAUAUUGCCUGUCUGGAUCGAGGGCUGCGUCUUUUGACUAGGAUGCUGGCGUAAUGAUCUAAUGCCGCCCGUCUAGAAAAACCGGG